This 159-nucleotide ribosomal RNA is filed under the name Clematis intricata. RNAcentral describes it as "5.8S ribosomal RNA". It matches the Rfam family "5.8S ribosomal RNA". Rfam says of the family: 5.8S ribosomal RNA (5.8S rRNA) is a component of the large subunit of the eukaryotic ribosome. It is transcribed by RNA polymerase I as part of the 45S precursor that also contains 18S and 28S rRNA. Functionally, it is thought that 5.8S rRNA may be involved in ribosome translocation. Lineage: Eukaryota; Viridiplantae; Streptophyta; Magnoliopsida; Ranunculales; Ranunculaceae. The record is from RNAcentral.
AAGACUCUCGGCAACGGAUAUCUCGGCUCUUGCAUCGAUGAAGAACGUAGCGAAAUGCGAUACUUGGUGUGAAUUGCAGAAUCCCGUGAACCAUCGAGUCUUUGAACGCAAGUUGCGCCCGAAGUCUUUUAGACCGAGGGCACGUCUGCCUGGGCGUCA